Molecule: ribosomal RNA, 253 nt
Filed under: uncultured bacterium
Lineage: Bacteria
Description: partial 16S ribosomal RNA
Rfam family: Bacterial small subunit ribosomal RNA
Source: RNAcentral
GACGUAGGGCGCGAGCGUUGUCCGGAUUUAUUGGGCGUAAAGCGCGUGUAGGCGGUUCAGUAAGUCUGCUGUGAAAGUCCAGGGCUCAACCCUGGGAUGCCGGUGGAUACUGCUGGGCUAGAGUACGGAAGAGGCGAGUGGAAUUCCCGGUGUAGCGGUGAAAUGCGCAGAUAUCGGGAGGAACACCUAUUGCGAAGGCAGCUCGCUGGGACGUUACUGACGCUGAGACGCGAAAGCGUGGGGAGCAAACAGG